GAUGAACGCUGGCGGCGUGCCUAAUACAUGCAAGUCGAGCGAACAGACGAGAGUGUUUGCACUUCCUCACGUUAGCGGCGGGCGGGAGAGAAACACGUGGGAAACCCAUCUAUAAGUGUGGGAUAAUCUCGGGAACCGGGCGAAAACCCGGGAAAAUUUUUAACCGCAUUGGACGAUAGUGAAAAAGGGCUUUUCUAUCUCUUAUAUAGAGGGCUGCGCGGUAUUAGCUAGUUGGUGAGGUAACGGCUUACCAAGGCAACGAUACGUAGCCGACCUGAGAGGGUGAUCGGCCACACUGGAACUGAGACACGGCCCAGACUCCUACGGGAGGCAGCAGUGGGGAAUCUUCCGCAAUGGGCGAAAGUCUGACGGAGCAAUGCCGCGUGAGUGAAGAAGGUUUUCGGAUCGUAAAACUCUGUUAUAAGGGAAGAACAAGUGCGUAAGUAACUGAACGUACCUUGACGGUACCUAACCAGAAAGCCACGGCUAACUACGUG
RNAcentral lists this ribosomal RNA (497 nucleotides) under uncultured bacterium. RNAcentral describes it as "partial 16S ribosomal RNA". It matches the Rfam family "Bacterial small subunit ribosomal RNA", at positions 28 to 507 of the family's 1533-position model. The record is from RNAcentral.